RNAcentral lists this long non-coding RNA (1489 nucleotides) under Sorghum bicolor (sorghum). Its description in RNAcentral is "long non-coding RNA (SBIC_LNC007001)". Lineage: Eukaryota; Viridiplantae; Streptophyta; Magnoliopsida; Poales; Poaceae. The record is from RNAcentral.
CCCACAAACAGUUCUCGUCUACUCGUAGCAAGCACCACACAUAGACAGGCAUACAAGCAAAAUAGAAACAACUAAGAACAACACAUCAAUCAAAAGAAAAGUUUUAAAAGAGAGCGCACUAAAAGGCAUGACUCGAUGCUAAGGUCACGAGAGCAGAAAAACGACCGAGAAUGAAGCUAUCGUUAAAAAGGAUGUGAUUAAUAGGCAAAAGACUAUGGAGUGUAUUUAUUUUAUUUUAGUAAAACAUGGUGAUGGAUAUUUUAAAGAAAUAUCCUAAAGUGAAAUUAAUCAAAUUAGAUUGAUCGCAAAGCCAGAAAUAAAACUUAGUUAUAUUUUAACUACAAAUAAUUAUAUAUCAUUUAGGCCAUUUAAACAUUUAUAAUUUAGAAAGCAUAAAGCAAGUAAGAGUAACUAAAUGAAUCAUCAUGUUUCGAGGUUUACGUAAGCAGUUCAUAUUUCAAAAGGCAUUAAUGUUGCUAUUAUUCAUAUUAACACUCUUUAUUAAGUCCAAGCUUAUAUACCUAAAUUACUUUUAAUUGAAAGACAAUGAAUAAAUAUUUAUUAUAUUACAACUAGAUCGACUUUAUAUGAAUCAUGCUUCAAUUAGUCAAACUAUAAUUUAAUAAAUAUGUAUAUGAAAAGGUCGAAGAUAAACCUAAACUAUUUUUAAUCAAUUAAAAGGGCACUCAAUACACAUUAAUCAAAAUAAUUAUAUUUAUAAACAUGGAAAAUAAUGUUGAUAACAUGUCGCUAAAGUCGCCCUAAUCGCAAAGUAAUAAAUAUGGAAUUAUAACUCUAUGUCGCUUUUAAUUAUAUAGUUAGAUGCGUAUGUUAAUUAAUUUAAUAAUCAACUAUAUAUAGAAAAAUAUGUAAUAUGAAAAGCAUUGGCACUACCGUGUAGAGUACGACGUCAUGAAUCUAACGCAACUGGAACCAAUGAAUCUACGCAACUGGAACCACUCGAAUCGGAUAUAAAACAAAUAAACUAUUGCUAUUUUCGUCUGGUGGCAAAAUCGUAAUUAAUAUCAUCUUCUACCUUGGAUCUUCAUCUUCACGAACGCAACAACUUGCUGCUGCUUCAUGCAGGGAAGGGAAGGGACUCCGGCCAGGGCUCUGUCGGCCGAGAUAGACGGCAGCCGCGGAGGUUCACGCACAAGGCUGAGGUGGGCUGGUUGCCCCAUACGGCAUGGAGGAUGGCCGCACGACCUCCUGCCUGCUCUGCUGACCUGGCGGGCAGGGGUAGGGCGUGUGCGGAGCAGCGCAGGGCUAUGGACUUGGGUGCCUCGGCUGCGGUGUGGGCGCAGGUCACCGGUGACGCCAUACGGAGUCACCGUGGCCGGAAACGAAGGAGAAGAUUGCGUUGUUCAUGGAGAUACGUCACCGGAAAAGAAAAAGAGAUUAGGGAAAUGAUCAAACAAAAUAGAUUGGUGAAAAGUAUGACGUGACGGUGUAGUGAACAACGAGACGAACUGGUGACGGUUUUUGUAGG